UGUGUAGGUGGUUGUCAUAGUCAGGCGUGAAAGCCUUGAGCUCAACUCAAGAAAUGCGCUUGAUACUGGGCAGCUAGAGGACCGGAGAGGAUAGUGGAAUUCCCAGUGUAGUGGUGAAAUACGUAGAGAUUGGGAAGAACACCAGUGGCGAAGGCGGCUAUCUGGACGGUUUCUGACACUAAGACACGAAAGCGUGGGAGCAAACA
This 206-nucleotide ribosomal RNA is filed under the name uncultured bacterium. Its description in RNAcentral is "partial 16S ribosomal RNA". It matches the Rfam family "Bacterial small subunit ribosomal RNA", at positions 568 to 774 of the family's 1533-position model. The record is from RNAcentral.